GAUGAACGCUGGCGGCGUGCCUAAUACAUGCAAGUCGAACGGAGAUUGUAGCAAUACUUUCUUAGUGGCGAACGGGUGAGUAACGCGUUGGUGACCUGCCCCGAAGAGGGGGAUAACAGCUCGAAAGGGCUGCUAAUACCCCAUGUGGUCCCUGGGAUUAGAUGCCCGGUGACUAAAGGUGAAAAUCACUUCGGGAGGGGCCUGCGUCCCAUCAGCUAGUUGGUAAGGUAACGGCUUACCAAGGCGAUGACGGGUAGGGGACCUGAGAGGGUGACCCCCCACACUGGCGACUGAAACGGGACCGAGACACCUACGGGUGGGCAG
Molecule: ribosomal RNA, 324 nt
Filed under: uncultured Chloroflexota bacterium
Lineage: Bacteria; Bacillati; Chloroflexota
Description: bacterial SSU rRNA
Rfam family: Bacterial small subunit ribosomal RNA
Source: RNAcentral